CCAUCACAGAUGAGGUGAGCCAGCCACAAUGAAGACAGAUCACUGCACACUGCGCGCGCAUGUGCGCGCACGCACACACACACACACACACACACACACACACACACACGCGCGCGCGCGCGCACACACACACACACGAGGGGCCGUUAACAGAGGUACUGAGACAAAUACUGAGAAACAGAGUCAAAGACAGACAUCCACACAAAGGCAGAGGAGCAAGAAACAAGGGAAGGCCCUUUAGACAAAGAUGUCUGUAGAGUCAUAAAGGGGCCAAGGUGGAAGGGAAGACAGUGGACAGCUACAGGCCGAGAGAGCUCGAGAGCAGACAGGCCUAGGGCCUGCAGAGGUCGGCUCAGCCUUUUCUUCAGAAGGAGUUACCUGGCUCACAGUCGAGCAACAGAGGAGAGAGAAAAGACAAGCCUGGACUCUGAGGUCGCGCCGGCUAGUCUGGGCCAACUCACAGGGACACUGCUCUUCAAAUGAAAAGGGCUAGCAGGUGUGGCUAGAAGCAGUGCCGCCUGUCCCAUUGUGGCCUCUAGCCCCGAGGUACCUGGGCCAGACCUGAUCUGACAGCUCUAUGCAAAUACGGCUUGGCAGGGGGCCCUGACAAUGUUUUAUAGAACGUUGUCGUCGUCCGAAUGGUCUGGAGAGCCAGGUGGGGUUGGCUGCAGCAGGUACGCCAGGCAGAAGCAGAAAGGGGACGGCAGGGCUCAGUGUCUGGUUCUGCAAAAAAUACAAACCCCAAAUUUCCAUUUGGCUCCAGUGGGCAAGGGAAGUGGGGAGGGAGAAGAGGCGGGCGGCAAGCAGGAAGCCAGCUCAGAUGGGUGAGGGGUAAAGAAGGAAGUGGGGAGGGAGAAGAGGGGGGACAAGAACAGAGAUAGAGAAAGCAAGAGACAGAGAAGGUGGGUAGGGAAGGUGGGACAGGAGACUUCUGCUCUCCACUCCAUCUGGGCCAGGAAGGCAGGAGAAGCUGGGAUGAACUAGAAACGAUUCAAACUAAGGCUGUCGAUUCGUUGGUAGAGCGCUCCAAUGGAAUCCCUGAAAGGCCAGGGCGCCAUCCCCAGCGCCACAGAAAAUCUGGCAUGGUGGUACAUGUCUAUACUCUUAGAAUUUGGAAGACAGAGGAAAGGCAAGCAGGAUCUUAAGGCCAGCAUCAGCUACAUGACAAGUUUGAGGCCAGCCUGGACUGUAUGAGACUAUCUCAGAAAAAAAAAAUUAGCAUCAGGGAAGGAAGGAAGAAGGAAAGAUGGGGUGAAGUGAUACUAUGUUACAAAAGAGAAAAACAACAACAACAACAUACGGACACAAAGGGCAAGAGAGAAAAAUAAAUCAGAACUAGAACCCUGAACAUGCAAAGGCCCUGAGGUGGGGCCAAAAAUAAAAAGCCUAGGUCCCCGAGGCCAUCUGCUAGAAAAAAAGAAAAAAAAAAAAAAAAAAAAGAGGAGCAGUGGCCUGGAGGGUAGGACUGGAAAGGGCACUGGUAAAAUCUAACCCGAAUUCCUUUCUUUUGAAGAAAUAAACAGAGAGUGGGGGUGGGAAUCACUGGAAAGAACUCCAAAUCCCCGGUGGUUUCAGAGCUAGCCUCCCAGUUACAGAGUCCCCUUUACAGGGCUGGGUACUCCACAGUGUGCCUGUGCUAACAGAGCUGGAUGGAAGCGCUCAGGCCCUAAAGGAAGAACGGACAGACUGAACAAAGCACCGAAGACUGGCGGGGAGGAGAACGUCCAAUGAAGACAGAGGCGGAGAAGCCGCAGGCCGGAACUGGAGAAGUCCAGAGAUGGGAGCCAAACUGAAGACAGGCCUGAGGGCAGAUCACCGCCCCUGUCCUCCGAUGAAGGUUUUGAUGUUUGAGGUCAAAGAAAAGGAAGGACAUCUCUGAGAACUGGAGCGACCCUUGAGAGGAUUGUACAAGGAGAGGUAAAGAGGAAGAGAUUGGCCAUAUCUGAGGCAGUUCAGAAGGACUCUAUCAAGGUCCAAACCUGGUACCCUCCUACAAGGUACUUGGGAGGUCUAAGCUUCGCUCUCAUGUCAUUUAUACCUCAUUUCCUACCUGCCUGCCCCUGCCUCUGCACACACAUACUUUCCUGGUUCUAAUCCUAUGGUCCCUCUUCCAUGGAAGCUAUUUUCUCAGGUACAUGGGUCCCCAAAGUGAUAGUUCUGCCCCGAAAACCAUCCUCUGCCUGUUUGAAUAUUCUUAGUUAUUGCUGUAAUGAACUUUUAGCAGAGUCAGAAUGAUACCUGAGUUCCCCCCCACACACACACAGGCUUAAAGCCUAGGAAGAAAUGUAGGCUAGGUCCCUCCACAAAGGUUUUCUGGAACAUUCUCCAGAAUAAAAGUCUCAAUUCAGAGACAAAGAAAGGUCUAGACAAUAGUAAGAAGUUUUUCUUCACUUAGGCACUGAAAAAGCCAGAAGGAAAUCUAGGUCUUGGGACCCUGGGCUAGCAUUCCUGAGGGUACAUCUCUGCUUUUGAGUUUAUGAGGUUUAUUACAUUCCCAUUCCCAGCAGAUCCAGGGUAAAUACUAAUCUCAUAGAAUCUUCAACCCAUCAUUACGGAUGCCCUUUGCAGGUGCCUCUAGCCCUUUUAGAGAGAUCACCUGAGUCUAUGAGCAGGAUCAACCUAUCUAGGAAGGCAUGAGUCUUAACUCCAUGAGCAUUCAGCUCUUCACCGCAAUGGCUAAAAAAGGUGGAGGAGAGAGAUACUGUGCAUACACAACCUGGGUGCACCCCGAGAUACCAGGACUGUACUUCUCCAUAAGAUACAGGAACACAUUAAUGACUGUGGGUCCUGGGGAACAGAGUGUUCUAGUUACAUAAGAACUUACUGAAUUCCUUUUUCUUUCUUUGGAGACAAGGUCUCACUGAGCUUCCUGGGCAAGCUUUGAACUUUCAACCCUCCUGCCUCCGUACUCAAGAAGCUGGGGUUACAGACCUGUGCUACCACUAUUACCCAAGCAAACUUUCUAGAAGUACAAAGCCAUGUGCUCCUAUAACUAGAAGCAUCACUAUGAAGCAGGAUGGCAUCUCUCAGUAUUAUUCUAGAGAACUCUGGGUAUAGGUAUACUUAUGUAUGGAGAUAUUUUAUUUGUACUGAAAUGUGAUUUUAUUUGUACGUUAAUAAAUAAAGUUGCCUGGGGGUCAGAGCUAAUAGCAAGCCAUAGCAGAAGCUGGGUGGUGGUGGUGCACACCUUUAAUCCCAGCUCUUGGGAGGCAGAGCUAGGCAGAUCUCUGUGUGUUCAAGGAUACAGCCAGCAUGGAGACACACACCUUUAAUCUCAAUACCAACCAUAGAAGACCUGGAGGUCUGUACAGAUAGGCAGUGAUGAGGAGGUCAUGUGGUUGGGUUUAUGACCAAUGAGAAGGCAGAAUAGAAAGUCAAUAAAAAGGACAAACAAAGAGGAAGGAGGUCUCUUGGCUGAAGAGGACAGCAGCAGCAGUGAAGGGUAAGGUUUUUAGCUCUUACCUCUGAUCUCUUGGGCUUUCAUCUCUGCAUUGGCUCUGUGUUUCUUAUUUAAUAAGAUUGUUCAUCUACACUUAUGAUUUCUGUUUUCUUUUUUCUUUAGAUAAACACCUAUCAAAUAAUCAAUUCAUGAUCGUUCAAUCAAGGUAGAUUUGAAAAGUUAAAGAAAGAAACACUGAAUCAGGACAGUUAAAGGGGAAAGAAUAGGUCAACAACUAUAGGUCAACAACGAUCUAAGAGAGAAGUUGAGAGAAAGUGUAGGGUAGACUUUUAGUCCACAGCAAUUAACCUAACUAGGAGAAUUCAACAUAAUAGUGGUGGGCUUUGGACAUGAUCAAGCCUCACCUUGACUUAGAUCUAUGCUCAUUCUAUAUUUUAUUCUGGGUCUAUGUUCAGAUGAUGAGAUAGAAAACCCCUUGGAAUAACAGAUAUACUCUCAUUCAUCUUCUGAAAUGACUAGCCUUGCAUAUCAAGGGUUCUCAAUAAAUACUUAUUCAGUUAUCUUCAUUAAUGAUUAUAUCAAUUAAAUAUACUUUAUGUAACAAAUAUUUAUUGAGUGCCUACUACCUACUAGGCACUGUUCUGGACUCAGGAUGCAAAGACAGACUUGGUAGACCUGCCCUUACCCACUAAAAUUCCACUAGACACACACACACACACACAGACACAGACACACACAGACACACACAGACACACACACACACAGACACACACACACACACACACACACACAAAACGCUGUGUCUUCACCAAAAGGGAAAACUUGGAACCUUCUGCCUACAGACACUAUAGGGUAAAGCAGAAUGGAGGAAAGUAUCAGAGGUUGUAGGAAGAAUCCUCAAAGAACUGUUGGGUAUCUAUGCUGGACUUUGAGGAAUGUACAGGAGUUAUAUUGGACAGCAGGGAGGGAAGGGAGAAUAAAAUGUUCUCAGAAGACAGAAGGCCUGGGUAGCAGGGCAGUCGGAAAAACACAUCCAUUCAGGAUCCUAGACGUAUCUUAGCCUGACCACUGUGUCCUGGAAGCCAAGCAUCGGAAUGGACAUGCUGUAGAAAUGGGAAGAAGCUGUUCUUGCUAUCACAUUCUAUCAGGGGAGCUGGAGGAGGUGAUAACCAGUUAACGGCUGAAGAGUUCCAUCAGUGUCAUGCUAGACAAUACCAGCUAACCAAUGGUGAAGAGAUAAGACCAUGGGAGUGGGUUUAGUAGAGCUGUGGUAUGGUUGCCCCUCAACUCUAAGCAUGGGGGUGUGGAUCUUAGAACGUUAGCAGGCGCUUCCUGCAUGAAUAUCGUUAAUGGGUAUUUACUGAAUGGAUAAAUAAACCUGAUUUUGUUACA
Long non-coding RNA from Peromyscus californicus insignis, 4792 nucleotides. RefSeq lists it as uncharacterized. The transcript has 2 exons. The record is from RefSeq and is a predicted model, not a curated record. NCBI's taxonomy places the organism in Eukaryota, Metazoa, Chordata, Mammalia, Rodentia, Cricetidae.